AAAAAGAGAAAGGAUUCCAGGCUCUGUGUCAACUCCAAAUGUGAGGUGUCAAACUACUUUUGUCCCAGCAGGAAGGAAAUUGCAUAUCGAAUUCUAGUGGGUGAGUUCUGAGCGUGUAUCAUCCACCUUUCGGAGUCCUGCUCAGCAGAGCACGUUAACAGCUUUCAUUGAAACCAGGACUGCUGGAGAAAGCUCUUGGGGCAUCAGGAGCAUGGAGGCCAUUGAGCUGCUCCACCAGAGAUUCGGGUGGGCACAGCGUGGCUUUGCUUGGAGCUUUAGUUCAUUAGCUGGAGACCCCAUUUGUGAGUAGCUAAGCUAUUCUGAUUCCUUGGAAGAACUAGAGAACUUCUGUUAGAGUAAGUGACCAGUCAAAUUUAUAA
Long non-coding RNA from Eubalaena glacialis (North Atlantic right whale), 380 nucleotides. RefSeq lists it as uncharacterized. NCBI's taxonomy places the organism in Eukaryota, Metazoa, Chordata, Mammalia, Artiodactyla, Balaenidae. The record is from RefSeq and is a predicted model, not a curated record. The transcript is spliced from 3 exons.